This 1043-nucleotide long non-coding RNA is filed under the name Mytilus galloprovincialis (Mediterranean mussel). Lineage: Eukaryota; Metazoa; Mollusca; Bivalvia; Mytilida; Mytilidae. The record is from RNAcentral.
CACCCCAAUAAAUUUACAAAAAGAAGCAUUCAAUUCUUAAUUAUAAUUCAUAUUGAACAAAAUUACCUUUUCAAAAAAAAAUAUUCUGUUAAUGAUUUGGUUCUUCAGGUGAUUUUCAAAUCACUUGCAUUGAUUUUCUCAGAUUUUGUUGCCUUAUAUAUCAACAGGUGAGAUUGAAAAACACAAACACAGAUCUAGUGCAACAGUUACAUUGUCUAUUGAAGAGCCUUUGUGACUAAAAAAUACAUGGUUCAAGUCAAAUAUUUGAAGUCUUAUACAUAACAGUGAUGUGCCUGCUAUCAAAUAUUUAUUGACAUAAUGACGCUUUUUGACGCCACCCCCUUUCCUCCAUAAUGACGCCUUUUGACGCCUGUGUAGUACCUCAGUUGAAAUGCUUUGACUACAAAAUGUCUGCAUCAGACUUAAAAAAAUUUGUAUCCAAUAUCAAAAGGACAUUGAUAAGAAUAUCUGACUUGAAUUUCAUUGAUGAAAUAUUUGUCUUCACAAUGCAUUAAUACUUUAAACCUGAUAAUUUUUUUUUAUUAAAAAAAUCCUAUGCGAAUCAAGUUUGUGAGAGAAAAAAAUCCAUGGAGGAAAGGGUUAAAGCUCGUUAUUGCCAUUAUCAAUGCAUCAUGUGGAUUCAUUUAUUUAUGUGGAUUUAAAGAAAUAAUGUAUGUUCGUGCAUAUUAAAUAUCCAAGGAUAUCUUACACAAUUUUAAUCUAGACUUAAAAAGUCAGUUUAUCUAUCUAUUUCUAAAUGUGAAACCCAUUGAUGCCAUUUCAGGCUUUUUUAGUGCAGUAAUAAAUUGACAAUAUUGUUGUCUGUAAUAUAAAAUUUCAAUAUCUCAAUGGAAUCAAGAAAACAAAGCAAAACUUAAUACAUCUGAGCUUAAAAUGCAAAAUAUGUUGGUUUACAUAUCAAAAUGAUGCAAUGUUUUCAUGACUUUUGUUGAUUGUCAUUAAGUUUUGCAAUUAAAUCAGAUAACAUAUUAGACAUGACCGUAUAACACUUUAUUUCAAUACACUAAUCCAUAACAUUAUAG